This is a long non-coding RNA of Patella vulgata (common limpet), 5073 nucleotides long. RefSeq lists it as uncharacterized. The record is from RefSeq and is a predicted model, not a curated record. NCBI's taxonomy places the organism in Eukaryota, Metazoa, Mollusca, Gastropoda, Patellidae. The transcript has 2 exons.
GCCACUUCUGUACAGCGAAAGGCUGGUCACAUGAUAAGGUCAUAGUUCAAACGUUCCGGCCAUUCACUGUAUGAGUGUAUUGUUUGUAUGACUGUACAGCAGACUAUCCCAGAAUUUGUUUGUCUCGAUCAGAUUAAAGAAUAUCGGUUGUGGAGGUUUGUUUAGAACUGGACUUGAAAUCGACAGUGUGAACAGACAGACGUAUAAAAAUGGCUAACUGUGGUUGGUUAUGGAGUAUAAUAUGGUUUAUUAUCCUAAUUAUCUUCGGCUUUCCGAUCGGAUUUUUCUGUGCUAUUCUUUUCGUUUUAAUUAGUCCUUUUGCUGCCUGUUGUCAUGGAUGCAUGGAGCUCGUUAAUUUAUUAGAACGAGGUUUAAAAUUACCGUUAACAUGCUCACAGAAUAUGGUUAUGGGAAAAUCCAUGUGUUAAAUCUAAUCAUUAUUGAACUUAGCAAUUUAAAGAGGGCGUACGUUCCAGUUUGUUUUUGCUCCGUGGUCUUUUGACUCUUCAUAUUAACCAAUCCAGCUACCAUAAACAUUUUUAUUAUAUUUUAAACUGGGGUUGCCAGGAAAUCUUCUUCUACUUCUUGUGCUGUGGCUCUUCCAAAAAGCUCCAAGCAGUUAAAUCUUGGCAAGCUGGGACAAUUGCAUUUGGAUUUGUGGACUUCAAUUUUUGAUAUUAUGUCAAUAUUUCAAGAUGGCUGCAUUAACUUCAUGCUUGGUUCCUGGCUCAUGGUUAGGUCUAAAUAUUAAGGCCAACUGCAGAUUUGGUCAAAGGACACAGGAUGUAAACAAGGCUAGUGUAACCCUAACCUACAAUCUCGUCAACAAUCACAUGCCCUAACCUUAUUUACAUCUCAUGACCUUAUGGAAAUCUGCAAUUGGCCUUAAUAUUUAGACCUGACCCUGACACAUAUAGUACUUGUUUUGGUCUGAAUUGAAUUCAGUUAUUUUUUUAUGUAAAUUCUCCAUCUUUUAUAACUAUUAUGGGAGGAAGAAAUUAAUUUAAUUGUUUUAGUAUUUCACAUAUUUUGUAAUUUGUUCUUCUUGUAAAAUUGGGUUCCUUAAUCAUCUGUUCCCAGAGUUUCAAUUUAGCAAGUUAUUCAUGAUAUAUAAUGUUGUUUGUUUUCAGUAUAUGUUUUUAUAUAAUGAUUGUUUAUAUUAAUGAUUAUUUAUAUUAAUGAUUAUUUAUAUUAAUGAUUGUUUAUAUUAAUGAUUAUUUAUAUUAAUGAUUAUUUAUAUUAAUGUGGUCUUCCACCUGUUUUAAUAAAUAAAUCAUUAUACUUUAUAUCAUUCAAUUGUUUAAGUUUUUAGAAAAUACAUUACUAAAUCUAUAUCAUUCGAUUGUUUAAGUUUUGGUAUUCCAAGAUGGCCGCUCUGAUUAUUAUGAAUGAAUGAAUUCCAUUUUGUUUUAUUGCAAUUUAUUACACUGCAUAAUAUUUUAUUGUCAUUUUAUUUCCAUCAUCAGUCAACAUGAGAUACAUUUUGUAUACCAGUAAUUUUAUUUCCAUCAUCAGUCAACAUGAGAUACAUUUUGUAUACCAGUAAUUUUAUUUCCAUCAUCAGUCAACAUGAGAUACAUUUUGUAUACCAGUAAUUUUAUAUGUAUGUCCUUUUAGUCUUUUAUUAUUUCAUGAAUUUUAGACGAGGAACUAGUCGUUAACCUCUACUCAUCUUGUCGUUCUUAAGGCUCCAAUAAUUCAUGCUUCUUUUUUGAAUAAAUCUGCAUCAGUUUGGUGAAUUAGUUUUUUGAAUUUCAUCCUACAACAUGGUCAGUACCUGGUCCAUAGUAUGAUCGUACUUGUUAAAACGUUGAAAAAUUCUUCUUUUAAUACGUAAGAGGUGAGAAUAAGUAUAUUAAUAAAUAAAAUCAGUCAUGAGGGUAGAUGUUUAAAUUGUUCAUUAAAAUGUCGUGAGGGUAGAUGGUUAAAUUGUUCAGUAAUUAUUAUAGAUGUUAACAGUAGGUCUACUUUAGAUGUAAGUUUAAAUUCUAUAUGCAAGUCUCAUACCAGAGGCCUAGUGUAGGGUGACUGAUGAUUAGCUCUGAAUGCAAGUCUCAUUUCAGAGACCUAGUGUAAGGUGACUUAUGUUUAGCAAGUCUCAUUCCAAAGACCUAGUGUAGGGUGACUUAUGUUUAUAUUAUUGGUUGAAGCCUGAUUGUAUUUUGAGGUCCGAGUCGCGAGGGUUCAGUGAGUAAGACGUUGGCUCACUUAACAGGAGGUUCAGGGGUUUGAUCCAAGAAAGGUUUCAGGGGUUUUCCAGCAUUGCUUCCCCUUGUCAGGGGUGUAGGACACAGGACCUAGCAAGGAUGGCUUCUAGUCAUUAGGAUGGGACGAAAAAACUAAGUUCUGUGUAUACGUUGGUGUGUACGUACAAGAACCCUUGACAGUUGCAAUCCGAUAUAAAAGUAGGCCUUGGCGCCACUGUACGGGCAAAAUUUCUCUCAUAGCACACUACAUGGUGUAUGCUCGUCUUUGUUAUCCCAGUCGGUACAGAAAAGUAGGAUGUUAAACCCCAUUUCAUUGCAUAUUAUGAUAUGAUAGGUUUACAGCUCCUUACACUACAUUUUAACCAUAUUAGGAAGUCGUAAUAAAAAUAAUCACAAUAAUACUAAGGAAGACAAUUAGUGUUUUAUUUCUACAAUGAUUCUAUUGUAUUUAUCAAGUAUAAUACUUGAUUACUGUAGAAAAAUAGCUCUCAAUACCGUACAAUAAUUCUAUUGUGUUAUCAAGUAUAAUACUUGAUUACUGUAGAAAGAUACAAUGUGGAAACAGUUCAUAUUUUUAAUGUCUUUUAAAAACUUACUUUUUUUUUGCCCAGCUCUUUAAAUUAAUGUUUCUUUUAACUCCAUUUUUUAGUUCUUAAUUGUUAUUUUUGUGUUUUUGAUCUCAUUUAUUUUGUGCAUGAGGGUUGAUAAAGCGCUAUAGGUCUUCGUAAUAAUCAUAAUUGUUUUCCAUAGAAAUGUUGUGAUUAUUUUGUUUGUGCUGAGUAACUAAAUGCUACUUGAUUAUUACGUCAUAAUAAAGGUAACGAUCAUUGGAAAUUAUGUAUACCAUGAAGAUAUAUAUAUAACACCUAUUGUGUAAUAGGGGUAGUGUAACUGAAAUGGUGGUUAGAAUUAAAGGGUCUACUGACAUCCAAAAUAAACUAUAAGAUAUUUAAAUUCUAUUAUAUAAUUUGGAUUAUAUUAAGUAAACCAUUGAUUAAAUAUGUUACCUAAAUACAACAACUAUGUCUUACAACUGACAAAAUAUUUUUGAAAUUAUAUAUUUAUAUCUAGAUAUUUUGGAUUUUAAUCACCAUUGAAAAGGCAAACCAAAAUAUGGAGAAACGCUGCUAAAAAUAGCAAAGUUCGACAAGCAGAAAAUAUUUAUUUUUUCAACAUUCUCUCGAAAUCUUAGUUUCUUUUGGAUGUCAGAAAAACUGCAGAUAUAUUCAGGAAUCUAUUGCAUAUGUCCGCUAUAUACAACCAAUGUGUCCGAGAGUCGGGUGUCCGCCAACCUUUUGACAUACAUUGGUUUUUAUUCAAAAAUAUGCAGCUUUUUUUAGUUCGUUCUGGACAUCCGAAUAAAUGGAAAUAUUUCAGUCUUUAUGUAUCUAUUAUAUUUACAUGUAGUCACUAUAUAGUCUUAUAAAACAAUGUAUUGUAGUACAGAAGUCACUAGCUUUUUAUAUAACCGGGUAUAUAUUUUAGUACAGUAUAACUAUCGGUAGUAUAUAGAUAUAUUGUAAUCACUAGCUUGUUAUAUAACCAGUAUAUAUUGUAGUACAGUUGCUUGUUAUUCAUGAUUAUAUUCUGCUUUAUGUAUAACUAAGCAAUAAUCGGGGUCAGAUUAAGCUUAUAUAGGGCCCCAGACUGAAAAUAUCACCAUGGCCCUAGCAUCAACUGUGAAAAGGAGUGGGUGGGGUAAUAUACAAUGUGUAUGUCAGUAUGGUAGAUAGAUUUAUUUGGCACAAAUACCGUACAACUUAAUAAAUAAAAUCAUAAAUUGUAUGCUUGAUAUACAGAAAAUUGGGACUCCUUUAAUAAUGGGGCCCUCUGGAUGCAGUCCAGGUUAGCACCCCUCUUUAUCCGGCCCUGGAAAUGAUAUAUAUAUAUAUAUAUAUACCUCUAUCUAUGUGCCUGUUUUUAUUAAUUAUUAUGAUUGCCUUAAUUUAAUUUAACCCUUUGGCACCUGGUUCAUGUAAAUAUCAUUGAUGAUAUUGAGAGGACCUGAAGAAAACCCACGAGGAUGGACAAGCGACCCUACUCCUUGUCACGUACAACCGGGGAAUUGAAACCACACCAGUUGACUCAAUGACAGACCUUAUGAUCUAAAGCGCAUGCGUUAAACUAUUCGGCCACCCAAUGCCUCCUUCUUAAAUAGGUCACAUGACUGACAGUUUAAGGCCUAGAGAGAGAAGGAGCUCCAGGUGUUCUAAAGGGUUAAUAAAUAAAGUUAUGUAAAUAUUCUCAAAUAGAUCUUAUAGGCCCGUGUGUGGUGGUGCCAACUAAUGCAAACUAGCGUACAAAUAUUUUGUUUGGAUAUUUUCUAGUGAUUUUUUGAAAUAAAUAAAUAUGAUAAAGUCAACUAAAUAGUGCAAUUGUCACAUUAGAAUUUAUACUAAUAUUUGUGACGUUUGUUUGUCUGUCUGUCUGUUCAUGGUUGGUGUCUACACUAAGGCUGUCCUGAGGGAUAGCUCGGACUGGGGAGUAACACAGGCCUGGUAGUGAUGGCCUACUACUUCUAGUAUGUGAAAGUUAUGCUACUUUGGGUUCAACACUGGGUCAUCAUAAAUACGUUCAUCCAAUGUUUCUUUAGGUUGGUGUCGGGUGGUAUAGCUAUAAUUUCUCAUUAUAGACACACCCUAAUAUUUCUCUCAAAGAGUAGGGACAGGAAGGCAGGAAGGCUACCAAUCUAAUAUUUCCUGAUUGAAUAUUGUCACUAUAACAUAAUCUGUAAUAAAAGUGAAUAUAUUGAAAUUUUACCUGAUUGUUACCUGUUAAUUAAAUGCUUCUUUCUCUAUAUGUAGUCUGUAUUUUAUGUUUACAUAUAUUUAAAAAUAUUUAACAUGGAAUUAAAUUUUGGAAUGUA